CAGCAGCCGCGGUAAUUCCAGCUCCAAUAGCGUAUUGUAAAGUUGUUGCAGUUAAAAAGCUCGUAGUUGGAUUUCGGGCUCGACGGCGACGGUCAGCCGCAAGGUAUGUCACUGUCGGCGUUGGCCUUCUUCGCGCAGACUUCGCGUGCUCUUAACUGAGUGUGCGUUGGAUACGCGACGUUUACUUUGAAAAAAUUAGAGUGUUCAAAGCAGGCUUGCGCUUGAAUACAUAAGCAUGGAAUAAUGGAAUAGGACUUUGGUUCUAUUUUCCGUUGGUUUCUGGAACCGAAGUAAUGAUUAAUAGGGACAGUUGGGGGCAUUCGUAUUUCGUUGUCAGAGGUGAAAUUCUUGGAUUUACGAAAGACGAACUAAUGCGAAAGCAUUUGCCAAGAAUGUUUUCAUUAAUCAAGAACGAAAGUUAGAGGAUCGAAGACGAUCAGAUACCGUCCUAGUUCUAACCAUAAACGAUGCCGACUAGGGAUCAGCGAGUGUUAUUUGAUGACCUCGUUGGCACCUUAUGGGAAACCAAAGUUUUUGGGUUCCGGGGGAAGUAUGGUUGCAAAGCUGAAACUUAAAGGAAUUGACGGAAGGGCACCACCAGGAGUGGAGCCUGCGGCUUAAUUUGACUCAACACGGG
This 637-nucleotide ribosomal RNA is filed under the name Gorgonia sp. S2-2. RNAcentral describes it as "SSU rRNA". It matches the Rfam family "Eukaryotic small subunit ribosomal RNA", at positions 568 to 1209 of the family's 1831-position model. RNAcentral also lists the same sequence under 9 other names. The record is from RNAcentral. Lineage: Eukaryota; Metazoa; Cnidaria; Anthozoa; Malacalcyonacea; Gorgoniidae.